CCUUUUGGCGGAUCGAAAACAAUAGUACGUGUAAUAUCCCCGUUUAAGAACGCCGUAGACACGUCUAACUGUCUCAAUUGCCAAGAAUGAACGGUAGCCAAGUUGAUUAAUGAACGAAUAGCAGGGUUGUUCGGCGUCGGCGCGUAUACUUCGUUUAACUCGUACUUGACCCACUUGGAGUCGACCUUGGAAUAAUCAUCCGUACCAAUAUCUUCAAUCGUAGUCGAAAACCAAACAUCUUUAAUGUCCAUUGCAUUCAAUUCAUCUCGAAUUGCUUCACGCCACUUUUCACCUUCUGGACCUGAAAUCGCGUUCUCCUAAAUAAGAACUACUCGUUCCAGUACUAUCAUUCGAAGAAUCACUGCCGAAAUCGCUAGAGUUUUGCCUCGUACUGCUUGAGUUGGAACAGCAAGACAUCGUGAUUUGAUUUUUGAAUACAUCCAACAUUACGUAUCCCGUAUCUGUGAAACCAACAAGAAGCAUAUCUCCCGAUCGUUCACCUGUCUUCGCAUUCGUACGUUUCUCUUUCGGAAUAAAAACUCUACCGAUGCAACCAAAAAGUCUAA
Molecule: long non-coding RNA, 566 nt
Organism: Planococcus citri (citrus mealybug)
Lineage: Eukaryota; Metazoa; Arthropoda; Insecta; Hemiptera; Pseudococcidae
Exons: 4
Source: RefSeq, a predicted model, not a curated record